Molecule: ribosomal RNA, 253 nt
Filed under: uncultured bacterium
Lineage: Bacteria
Description: partial 16S ribosomal RNA
Rfam family: Bacterial small subunit ribosomal RNA
Source: RNAcentral
UACGAACCGUCCAAACGUUAUUCGGAAUUACUGGGCUUAAAGGGUGCGUAGGCGGCCCGGUAAGUUGGGUGUGAAAUCCCUCGGCUUAACCGAGGAAUUGCGCCCAAAACUGUCGGGCUCGAGGAAGAUAGAGGUGAGCGGAACUUAGGGUGGAGCGGUGAAAUGCGUUGAUAUCCUAAGGAACACCGGUGGCGAAAGCGGCUCACUGGGUCUUUGCUGACGAUGAGGCACGAAAGCUAGGGGAGCGAAGAGG